AGUGAACGCUGGCGGCAGGCCUAAUACAUGCAAGUCGAACGGCAGCACAGCUUAAGCUUGCUUAAGUGGGUGGCGAGUGGCGGACGGGUGAGGAAUACGGGGGAAUCUGCCCAGUCGUGGGGGAUAACGUAGGGAAACUUACGCGAAUACCGCAUGCGCCCUUCGGGGGAAAGCCGGGGAUCUUCGGACCUGGCGCGAUGGGAGGAGCCCCCGUCGGAUUAGCUAGUUGGAGGGGUAAAGGCCCACCAAGGCAACGAUCCGUAGCUGGUCUGAGAGGAUGAUCAGCCACACUGGAACUGAGACACGGUCCAGACUCCUACGGGAGGCAGCAGUAGGGAAUAUUGGACAAUGGGCGCAAGCCUGAUCCAGCCAUGCCGCGUGAGUGAAGAAGGCCCUCGGGUUGUAAAGCUCUUUUGUUGGGGAAGAAAAGCCUUGGGUUAAUACCCUGAGGUUCUGACGGUACCCAAAGAAUAAGCACCGGCUAACUUCGUGCCAGCAGCCGCCGUAA
Molecule: ribosomal RNA, 508 nt
Filed under: uncultured bacterium
Lineage: Bacteria
Description: partial 16S ribosomal RNA
Rfam family: Bacterial small subunit ribosomal RNA
Source: RNAcentral